GACGAACCGUGCGAACGUUAUUCGGAAUCACUGGGCUUAAAGCGCGUGUAGGCGGGCGGGAACGUCGGAAGCUGAAAUCCCCCGGCUCAACCGGGGAACGGGCGCCGAAACGACCCGCCUGGAGGGACGUAGGGGGACCUGGAACUUCCGGUGGAGCGGUGAAAUGCGUUGAGAUCGGAAGGAACGCCCGUGGCGAAAGCGAGGUCCUGGACGUCUUCUGACGCUGAGACGCGAAAGCUAGGGUAGCGAACGGG
This 254-nucleotide ribosomal RNA is filed under the name uncultured bacterium. RNAcentral describes it as "partial 16S ribosomal RNA". It matches the Rfam family "Bacterial small subunit ribosomal RNA", at positions 524 to 776 of the family's 1533-position model. The record is from RNAcentral.